This 102-nucleotide non-coding RNA is filed under the name Staphylococcus haemolyticus. RNAcentral's name for it is "TPP sequence". It matches the Rfam family "TPP riboswitch aptamer (THI element)". Rfam says of the family: Vitamin B(1) in its active form thiamin pyrophosphate (TPP) is an essential coenzyme that is synthesised by coupling of pyrimidine and thiazole moieties in bacteria. The previously detected thiamin-regulatory element, thi box was extended, resulting in a new, highly conserved RNA secondary structure, the THI element, which is widely distributed in eubacteria and also occurs in some archaea. Analysis of operon structures identified a large number of new candidate thiamin-regulated genes, mostly transporters, in various prokaryotic organisms. RNAcentral also lists the same sequence under 1 other name. The record is from RNAcentral. Lineage: Bacteria; Bacillati; Bacillota; Bacilli; Caryophanales; Staphylococcaceae.
AAUAUGCACUAGGGGUGUUUACAAACUGAGAUGGAGUCUUACUCCGAACCCUUUGAACCUGAACUAGAUGGUACUAGCGUAGGAAAGUGUGGACGAAAUCGU